Molecule: ribosomal RNA, 1003 nt
Filed under: Escherichia coli
Lineage: Bacteria; Pseudomonadati; Pseudomonadota; Gammaproteobacteria; Enterobacterales; Enterobacteriaceae
Description: partial 23S ribosomal RNA
Rfam family: Bacterial large subunit ribosomal RNA
Source: RNAcentral
GGGGAACUGAAACAUCUAAGUACCCCGAGGAAAAGAAAUCAACCGAGAUUCCCCCAGUAGCGGCGAGCGAACGGGGAGCAGCCCAGAGCCUGAAUCAGUGUGUGUGUUAGUGGAAGCGUCUGGAAAGGCGCGCGAUACAGGGUGACAGCCCCGUACACAAAAAUGCACAUGCUGUGAGCUCGAUGAGUAGGGCGGGACACGUGGUAUCCUGUCUGAAUAUGGGGGGACCAUCCUCCAAGGCUAAAUACUCCUGACUGACCGAUAGUGAACCAGUACCGUGAGGGAAAGGCGAAAAGAACCCCGGCGAGGGGAGUGAAAAAGAACCUGAAACCGUGUACGUACAAGCAGUGGGAGCCUCUUUAUGGGGUGACUGCGUACCUUUUGUAUAAUGGGUCAGCGACUUAUAUUCUGUAGCAAGGUUAACCGAAUAGGGGAGCCGAAGGGAAACCGAGUCUUAACUGGGCGUUAAGUUGCAGGGUAUAGACCCGAAACCCGGUGAUCUAGCCAUGGGCAGGUUGAAGGUUGGGUAACACUAACUGGAGGACCGAACCGACUAAUGUUGAAAAAUUAGCGGAUGACUUGUGGCUGGGGGUGAAAGGCCAAUCAAACCGGGAGAUAGCUGGUUCUCCCCGAAAGCUAUUUAGGUAGCGCCUCGUGAAUUCAUCUCCGGGGGUAGAGCACUGUUUCGGCAAGGGGGUCAUCCCGACUUACCAACCCGAUGCAAACUGCGAAUACCGGAGAAUGUUAUCACGGGAGACACACGGCGGGUGCUAACGUCCGUCGUGAAGAGGGAAACAACCCAGACCGCCAGCUAAGGUCCCAAAGUCAUGGUUAAGUGGGAAACGAUGUGGGAAGGCCCAGACAGCCAGGAUGUUGGCUUAGAAGCAGCCAUCAUUUAAAGAAAGCGUAAUAGCUCACUGGUCGAGUCGGCCUGCGCGGAAGAUGUAACGGGGCUAAACCAUGCACCGAAGCUGCGGCAGCGACGCUUAUGCGUUGUUGGGUA